RNAcentral lists this ribosomal RNA (477 nucleotides) under uncultured bacterium. RNAcentral describes it as "bacterial SSU rRNA". It matches the Rfam family "Bacterial small subunit ribosomal RNA", at positions 33 to 507 of the family's 1533-position model. The record is from RNAcentral.
ACACGCUGGCGGCGUGCUUAAUACAUGCAAGUCAACUUGACUUUAGAUAGCAAUAUCGAAAAGUAGGGUGGCGCACGGGUGCGUAACGCGUAGGUAAUCUGCCCUGAGGUCUGACAUAACCCGUCGAAAGGCGGGCUAACAUCAGAUGAUAUAUAAUCACGACAUCGUGGAAAUAUCAAAUCUUCGGAGCCUUGGGAUGAGCCUGCGUCUGAUUAGGUAGUUGGCGGAGUAAUAGCCCACCAAGCCUACGAUCAGUAGCUGGUCUGAGAGGAUGAUCAGCCACACUGGAACUGAGACACGGUCCAGACUCCUACGGGAGGCAGCAGUAAGGAAUAUUGCUCAAUGGGGGGAAACCCUGAAGCAGCAACGCCGCGUGAAGGAUGAAAUACUUUGUAUGUAAACUUCUGUAAGAUGGGAAAAAUAUUCUCCUCGGGAGAAUUGAUUGUACCAUCAGAGUAAGCCCCGGCUAACUACGUG